Molecule: ribosomal RNA, 253 nt
Filed under: uncultured bacterium
Lineage: Bacteria
Description: partial 16S ribosomal RNA
Rfam family: Bacterial small subunit ribosomal RNA
Source: RNAcentral
UACGUAGGGGGCUAGCGUUGUCCGGAUUUAUUGGGCGUAAAGAGCGUGUAGGCGGCCAGGUAGGUCCGGUGUGAAAACUCGAGGCUUAACCUCGAGAUGUCAUCGGAAACCAUCUGGCUAGAGUCCGGAAGAGGAGAGUGGAAUUCCUGGUGUAGCGGUGAAAUGCGCAGAUAUCAGGAAGAACACCCGUGGCUAAGGCGGCUCUCUAGUACGGUACUGACGCUGAGACGCGAAAGCGUGGGGAGCGAACAGG